GGGGAUGGCUCAAGUGAUAGAGUAUGUGCCUAGCAAACACAAAGACCUGAGUUCAAAUCUUAGUACCACCA
RNAcentral lists this transfer RNA (71 nucleotides) under Dipodomys ordii (Ord's kangaroo rat). It matches the Rfam family "tRNA". Rfam says of the family: Transfer RNA (tRNA) molecules are approximately 80 nucleotides in length. Lineage: Eukaryota; Metazoa; Chordata; Mammalia; Rodentia; Heteromyidae. The record is from Rfam by way of RNAcentral.